ACGGUAGCAGGAGAAAGCUUGCUUUCUUGCUGACGAGUGGCGGACGGGUGAGUAAUGCUUGGGGAUCUGUCUUAUGGAGGGGGAUAACGACGGGAAACUGUCGCUAAUACCGCGUAGAGUCGGGAGACGAAAGUGCGGGACCUUAGGGCCGCAUGCCAUGAGAUGAGCCCAAGUGUGAUUAGGUAGUUGGUGGGGUAAAGGCCUACCAAGCCGACGAUCGCUAGCUGGUCUGAGAGGAUGGCCAGCCACACCGGGACUGAGACACGGCCCGGACUCCUACGGGAGGCAGCAGUGGGGAAUAUUGCGCAAUGGGGGCAACCCUGACGCAGCCAUGCCGCGUGAAUGAAGAAGGCCUUCGGGUUGUAAAGUUCUUUCGGUGAUGAGGAAGGUUGGUGUGUUAAUAGCAUGCCAGCUUGACGUUAAAUACAGAAGAAGCAC
This 438-nucleotide ribosomal RNA is filed under the name Aggregatibacter actinomycetemcomitans. Its description in RNAcentral is "bacterial SSU rRNA". It matches the Rfam family "Bacterial small subunit ribosomal RNA", at positions 66 to 493 of the family's 1533-position model. Lineage: Bacteria; Pseudomonadati; Pseudomonadota; Gammaproteobacteria; Pasteurellales; Pasteurellaceae. The record is from RNAcentral.